Molecule: long non-coding RNA, 501 nt
Filed under: Lathyrus oleraceus (garden pea)
Lineage: Eukaryota; Viridiplantae; Streptophyta; Magnoliopsida; Fabales; Fabaceae
Description: Pisum sativum (pea) long non-coding RNA (PSAT_LNC010822)
Source: RNAcentral
AAUUUGACAAUGAUUAAAGGUGAGUGUAAAGGAAAUCAAACUAAAUUAUCCAAUAAAAUAAAUAAUAAUUAAGCAUAUAUGAACAACAAGCAUCCAAAAUUGAUUAUAAUUAUAUAGAAAAUAUGCAGCUAGAGAUUUCGGCAACCGGUACCGAUCUCAUCCUAUGACAGUGCUUCAUCCAAAAUUCUGAUAAUCGUCAAAAGAGAAUUUGAAGACAAUCAAUUAAAACCCAAACAAGAUCAUUAAAAUAUGAACCGCCAACUUAAAGAUCAAAACCAACAAGAACCCGAUCAAAAUUAUUCUUAAUUAACUAAAUAAUUAAAAACCACAUGAAUAUAUGAUAAAGAAAUUAGGCUAACUAGCUAAAACCUAAAGUUUCAAAAGAUUUCAAUUGAUCGAUUAGUCAUACAAUUAUUCUAUUAAUCACCAUAGACUAACUGAUUAAUUCACUCAAUUAACACUUAUAACAGAACCAUAACUGAUUUAACAAGUUAACAUUAC